CUUGAAUCUGCUGCCUCCUUCCUCUUACAAAGUAAUCUUGAUGCUUCCUUUUGACCCAACAAGCCCAUUGUUUUUCUUCAGGAAAGAGGCCCAUUAAUUUCCAAAUGAAUUGAAACCCGGGAACCCCUUGUCAGGUCGGUUGGUCCUUUCGGCUCUCAGAUUCGCUCUCUCUAGCUUGGCUGCUUCGCGCUCGCUCCAUUCUUCUCUCCCCUUCUUGUUCGCAACGCACCUGUCAAUGGCAUCUAGAAAACACUAUCUCUCUAAAGACCCCGAACAACCAGAACCGUCGGGCAAGAAGACAAAUGUGAAUCCCGAAGAUUCUAAAAUACCCAAUGCAGAGAAGAAGCGUCCGGUGCUCAAUCCUGCUGACUGUGACUUAGGUAAACUUCAUGCUCUCUAUCAUUUCCAUUUCCAUUUCCGUUUUUGUUGGACUUGAAACUCCUAGGUUUUCUUUUUUCUUCUCUUUCCUUUUGCCUGAGAAGGCUAGUACAUAGUUAAGAACCCCCGGCGUACUCCGUGAAGGAGAUAUUAUGUCACUCUGC
This 542-nucleotide long non-coding RNA is filed under the name Carica papaya (papaya). Its description in RNAcentral is "long non-coding RNA (CPAP_LNC010517)". The record is from RNAcentral. Lineage: Eukaryota; Viridiplantae; Streptophyta; Magnoliopsida; Brassicales; Caricaceae.